RNAcentral lists this long non-coding RNA (1729 nucleotides) under Mus musculus (house mouse). Its description in RNAcentral is "long non-coding RNA chr15:74677674-74679403". Lineage: Eukaryota; Metazoa; Chordata; Mammalia; Rodentia; Muridae. The record is from RNAcentral.
CUAGAAUAGUCUAGAACAAGGAAGGCGAAGCCAUGCAGGCAUUGUGGGUACAGAGCUCAGCACUCACACACUAGGGGGCCAGCGUAAGUGUAGAAUCAAGAGACAGGAGCUAGACCUGAGGAAGCCCCUUUUGGGUCCAUGUCAGAUAGCCUGUCUGUGCCUAGCCUAAGCCUCCAUAGCGCUGUGGACAGGAACUUUUGCAUCUCCCUGAGACUGUGUGUGACUUCAUGGCACUCAUUCAGCACCUUGGUCUCAACUAUACAACAGGCAGACUGUACUAAAAGGCCACUAGGGCACCUCCUCCUCUUCCUCCUCCUCCUCCCCUUCCUCCUCCUCUUCCUCUUCCUUGUCUUCUUCUUCUUCUUCUUCUUCUUCUUCUUCUUCUUCUUCUUCUUCUUCUUCUUCUUCUUCUUCUUCUUCUUCUUCUUCUUCUUCUUCUUCUUCUUCCUCCUCCUCCUCCUCCUCCUCUUCCUCCUCUUCCUCCUCCUCUUUCUUCUUCAUGAAGGCUGAGAAAGCACUGGGUGGACCUGUGGCUACAAGGAUCCUUCUGACCAACUGUCCACCCUCCUGUUCAGUUGACAAAUGCCAACUCUAUGUUAAAGUGAGAAAGCCUUGACUCCCUAUAGCUGUCCAUAUUCUGUGCCUCUAGGAAGGGUCUCCAGGCACAGCGUGCCUUGGUCUAUCUUGUGUGCAUCUGCACAGAGUCUCUGAGAUGAGUGGUCAAUCUUGGUAUCUGCACAGGUCUGGAAAUGUGUUUUGUGUGCAACCAUAUAUGUCACAGUCGUAGCCCCCUUUAGCUUUUCCUAGUGUACCUGCUUCCAGCCAUCACUGGAAUGCAGGAGCCAACAGCCAGACAUAAAGAGGGACUGCCAGAUGUGUGAGGGUGCUACUCCAGGCCAAGGACAUGGCCAUGUGGGUUUUGUCCAUGUGGGGGCAGAACAUGGAUGGUAGCAGAGACCAGGUAUCAAGGUGAGUCAGGUCUCCCUUAUUCUAGCCAGGACACCAGCCUUGAGCCAGGGCCAUUGUACCCAGGACCUCCUCAGCCUGGGGAGGACAUGGAGGGUAGAGAGGGUAGAAAAGAAUCAGGAUAUGGGGAGAUGAUUUGGUGGCUGGUGUUCUGGAUGUGUGAGCUGUCCCUGCUUUGGAGAGAUGGCCCAGGAAUUUGGGCUACCAAAGGGACAAGAAUGAAGACUAUUAGGGUUCCCUAUAUCCAGGUAGCCAGUGCUGAGCUGGGGGUAGGGGCAGAGUUACGAACCAGGAAUGAGUAAGAGCCAUGGGAGGCUGGGCUGAGGUGGGAGGCUGGCAGCCACCCCUCAUCUCUGCUCCACUGGGGCCCUAGCCAGUCUGAGUGCCCACCUACCAACUCCCUGUGCGCCCACUGGGCUGGAUCAUACAGGAGCAGUUCUCCAUCAGGGGUGGGGUUGGGGGGGCUACUGCCAGCUGGCCGAUGAGACACCCCCAGAGCUGAGAGUUCAGAUGCCCAUGCCAGUUAGAGGGUGGCGUUCAAGGCUGCCACCCCCACCCUGGCGGCUGUGUUUUCCUGCUGUUCUCUGCAAUUCCAUUUAAAUACCUCCCAGAGCCAGCCCAGCAGCAGCCUGCCUGCUUCCGGCACCAUAAAAGGAGAGAGGCUGAGAAUAGCUGAGCCAUGACGCAGCAAGGAGCUUCCCCACGCAGGAAGGCUCUGUGCGCUGAGCCUGCCACCACCCAGGGCCCACCCUGCCCUACACCU